RNAcentral lists this transfer RNA (70 nucleotides) under Dipodomys ordii (Ord's kangaroo rat). It matches the Rfam family "tRNA". From Rfam's summary of the family: Transfer RNA (tRNA) molecules are approximately 80 nucleotides in length. The record is from Rfam by way of RNAcentral. Lineage: Eukaryota; Metazoa; Chordata; Mammalia; Rodentia; Heteromyidae.
GGGAAUGUGACUUAGUGGUAGAGUGCUUGCCUACCAUGCAUGAAGUCCUGGGUUUGAUAUCUUAGCACCA